UCCGGCUUAUCACCGGCAGUCCCACUAGAGUGCCCAACUGAAUGAUGGCAACUAAUGGCAGGGGUUGCGCUCGUUGCGGGACUUAACCCAACAUCUCACGACACGAGCUGACGACAACCAUGCACCACCUGUGCAGGGCCCCGAAGGACACCGUAUCUCUACGGCUUUUCCCUGCAUGUCAAGCCCAGGUAAGGUUCUUCGCGUUGCGUCGAAUUAAACCACAUGCUCCACCGCUUGUGCGGGCCCCCGUCAAUUCCUUUGAGUUUCAACCUUGCGGCCGUAGUCCCCAGGCGGAUCACUUAAUGCGUUAGCUGCGGCACUGAGGCAUGAACCCCAACACCUAGUGAUCAUAGUUUAGGGCCAAGACUAC
RNAcentral lists this unclassified non-coding RNA (370 nucleotides) under uncultured bacterium. RNAcentral describes it as "contains 16S-23S intergenic spacer region". The record is from RNAcentral.